GAUGAACGCUGGCGGCGUGCCUAAUACAUGCAAGUCGAGCGAACGGACGAGAAGCUUGCUUCUCUGAUGUUAGCGGCGGACGGGUGAGUAACACGUGGAUAACCUACCUAUAAGACUGGGAUAACUUCGGGAAACCGGAGCUAAUACCGGAUGAUAUUUUGAACCGCAUGGUUCAAAAGUGAAAGACGGUCUUGCUGUCACUUAUAGAUGGAUCCGCGCUGCACUAGCUAGUUGGUAAGGUAACGGCUUACCAAGGCAACGAUGCAUAGCCGACCUGAGAGGGUGAUCGGCCACACUGGAACUGAGACACGGUCCAGACUCCUACGGGAGGCAGCAGUAGGGAAUCUUCCGCAAUGGGCGAAAGCCUGACGGAGCAACGCCGCGUGAGUGAUGAAGGUCUUCGGAUCGUAAAACUCUGUUAUUAGGGAAGAACAUAUGUGUAAGUAGCUGUGCACAUCUUGACGGUACCUAAUCAGAAAGCCACGGCUAACUACGUG
RNAcentral lists this ribosomal RNA (497 nucleotides) under uncultured bacterium. Its description in RNAcentral is "partial 16S ribosomal RNA". It matches the Rfam family "Bacterial small subunit ribosomal RNA", at positions 28 to 507 of the family's 1533-position model. The record is from RNAcentral.